Molecule: ribosomal RNA, 465 nt
Filed under: uncultured bacterium
Lineage: Bacteria
Description: partial 16S ribosomal RNA
Rfam family: Bacterial small subunit ribosomal RNA
Source: RNAcentral
CCUACGUGAGGCAGCAGUAGGGAAUCUUCCACAAUGGGCGAAAGCCUGAUGGAGCAACGCCGCGUGGGUGAAGAAGGUCUUCGGAUCGUAAAACCCUGUUGUUAGAGAAGAAAGUGCGGGAGCGUAACUGUUCACGUUUCGACGGUAUCUAACCAGAAAGCCACGGCUAACUACGUGCCAGCAGCAGCGGUAAUACGUAGGUGGCAAGCGUUAUCCGGAUUUAUUGGGCGUAAAGGGAACGCAGGCGGUCUUUUAAGUCUGAUGUGAAAGCCUUCGGCUUAACCGGAGUAGUGCAUUGGAAACUGGGAGACUUGAGGGCAGAAGAGGAGAGUGGAACUCCAUGUGUAGCGGUGAAAUGCGUAGAUAUAUGGAAGAACACCAGUGGCGAAAGCGGCUCUCUGGUCUGUAACUGACGCUGAGGUUCGAAAGCGUGGGUAGCAAACAGGAUUAGAUACCCUGGUAGUC